Molecule: ribosomal RNA, 440 nt
Filed under: uncultured bacterium
Lineage: Bacteria
Description: bacterial SSU rRNA
Rfam family: Bacterial small subunit ribosomal RNA
Source: RNAcentral
CCUACGGGAGGCUGCAGUAACGAAUCUUCCGCAAUGCGCGAAAGCGUGACGGAGCAAUGCCGCGUGCAGGAUGAAGCCCUUCGGGGUGUAAACUGCUGUCAGGGUUUAGGAAGACAGUGACCAAACCCAAAGGAAGAGGCGACUAACUCUGUGCCAGCAGUCGCGGUAAUACAGAGGCCUCGAGCGUUAAUCGGAUUCAUUGGGCUUAAAGCGUACGUAGGCGGACAUGCAGGCAUGUUGUGAAAUCCCCCGGCUCAACUGGGGAAUUGCUUCGUGAACCGCAUGUCUAGAGGCAAGUAGGGGCGGUCGGAACGAUAGGUGGAGCGGUGAAAUGCGUUGAUAUCUAUCGGAACGCCAAAGGUGAAAACAGGCCGCUGGGCUUGUUCUGACGCUGAGGUACGAAAGCGUGGGGAGCAAACGGGAUUAGAUACCCUUGUAGU